AACUCAAGCAAUCAGAAAACGGCUAUCGGCUAAAUUGAAUUAUCGUGUAUUUUACAGACCUAAGACAAAUACAUAGUUUAUACCAAGUCCUGAUAAUAAUUGGCUUAGCUGGCAUGCUAUUUCUCUUAAUAUUUGCACUUGGAAAGCUUGUAUUUACCUUUUGAAGGCACAUUAUAUUAAUUUGAACGUUUAAUGCGCAAAAACGUGUUAUAUUUAUGGCUUCAUUAAAAAGAAGAUUUUAAAGUACCAAAUUAUCAGCUUGAAUUGGCAUGUUUGUGGUAUUCUUUUCAUACAGCAGAAGAAAAGUGAGUUGCGAAGAUUGCGUACAAUGAGCGAGAGAUGUUAUCUUUCAAUAUGUGAGAUAAAAAGAAGAAAGCGAAACCUCAUCCCGCGUUGUUAUUGUUUUUCUGUCAAAAACUUGAAGCUGUUUUAUAAAUCUUGAUAAAGUUAAUAAAUUGUUUUCGUUUCUAUA
Hydractinia symbiolongicarpus is the source of this 472-nucleotide long non-coding RNA. RefSeq lists it as uncharacterized. NCBI's taxonomy places the organism in Eukaryota, Metazoa, Cnidaria, Hydrozoa, Anthoathecata, Hydractiniidae. The transcript is spliced from 2 exons. The record is from RefSeq and is a predicted model, not a curated record.